ACUCCCACGCGCUCCUGUUCCUUUUUCAUUUGUACGCGUAAAGAGAGAGAGAGAGAGAGAGAGAGAGGAGGCGACGAACGAACCAACGAAGAACCAGAGCUCCCGCCCGACCCGACGCCCGACAACGACGACGAACACUCCGAGAUGUUUGUGUUGCACCGCGCCUAGGUGGGCUCAAGAUGGUGGAUACUAAGAGUUACCUCGCGACCACAACUUUGGAAGUUGGUGGAAAAGGAAAUUUGUUGGCUUUGUGAUUUCAUAAAUCAUGAGGGCUUGUCGAAAUUGAGCUCCUGAGCACCCACAACUGCCAUAGCAUGCUUGAUUCACCAAAUUUUCAAAACGGGCACACAACAAUAGUUGAGCAAGUUCAGUUACCUCCAUAGUUGGAAUUUGUUGAAGGAAGUUCCAGUGAAACAAAAAAUGAAGUUGAAUGCGGACUGUCCACAUGUCAAAUUAAUGUGAUGGCUUUUUCCUUGGGUCUUGUAUUUGCCGUUGCAAUUCUGUUUAUUGUGCGGCUUAAGUAGUUUGGAAUAUCAAGUUUUAUGUUUUUUUGGAAUAUCAAUGUAUGGCUUAAUGACGAUACUCAACGUUGUACCCUCAUUUUAAAUGAUAAUUGAGAUGAGAACGAGGCUUGGGUUUGUGUA
This is a long non-coding RNA of Rhododendron vialii, 644 nucleotides long. RefSeq lists it as uncharacterized. Lineage: Eukaryota; Viridiplantae; Streptophyta; Magnoliopsida; Ericales; Ericaceae. The record is from RefSeq and is a predicted model, not a curated record. The transcript is spliced from 2 exons.